UGUUUAAACCCCAAAGAACUUGGCGGCAUCCAAACCACUCAGGGGAACCUGUCCCUUAAUUCGAUACUCCACGAAUAUCUAACCUACCCUCGACCACAAACCACCCCACACCUGCAGCCUUUGUAUUGCCGUCAUAAGCACACCUUAAAAAGUUAGUGUACAAUGUAAUUCACCAUUCAUAUGUCAGGUAAAAGUGUAGCCAACGGGUAGGGGGUGAUGGGUUACAGCUCGAACUAAAACAUCUUAAAAUUCUUAAACAAAUUAUUCUAAAGUUGGACUUGAUAGUAAUUUACUUAAUUAAAAAUAAAUGAACCCGAAUCUAGGAUGUGCACAAAUCGCCCGUCGCUCCGGUCGAAAGAUC
RNAcentral lists this ribosomal RNA (361 nucleotides) under Limnodriloides appendiculatus. Its description in RNAcentral is "partial 12S ribosomal RNA". It matches the Rfam family "Bacterial small subunit ribosomal RNA", at positions 891 to 1415 of the family's 1533-position model. Lineage: Eukaryota; Metazoa; Annelida; Clitellata; Tubificida; Naididae. The record is from RNAcentral.